Molecule: ribosomal RNA, 253 nt
Filed under: uncultured bacterium
Lineage: Bacteria
Description: partial 16S ribosomal RNA
Rfam family: Bacterial small subunit ribosomal RNA
Source: RNAcentral
UACGUAGGGGGCAAGCGUUGUCCGGAUUUAUUGGGCGUAAAGAGCGUGUAGGCGGCUUGGUAGGUCCGCUGUGAAAACUCGAGGCUCAACCUCGAGAUGUCGGCGGAAACCACUUGGCUAGAGUCCGGAAGAGGAGAGUGGAAUUCCUGGUGUAGCGGUGAAAUGCGCAGAUAUCAGGAGGAACACCUGCGGCGAAGGCGGGUUGCUGGGCUGACACUGACGCUGAGGCGCGAAAGCUAGGGGAGCGAACGGG